GCACCAGUAGUCUAGCCUGGUUAGGAUACAAGCUUGCCAAGUUUGCGGCACGGGUUCAAAUCCCGUCUGGUGCA
This 74-nucleotide transfer RNA is filed under the name Candidatus Aenigmarchaeota archaeon CG1_02_38_14. RNAcentral's name for it is "tRNA-Gly". It matches the Rfam family "tRNA". Rfam says of the family: Transfer RNA (tRNA) molecules are approximately 80 nucleotides in length. Their secondary structure includes four short double-helical elements and three loops (D, anti-codon, and T loops). Further hydrogen bonds mediate the characteristic L-shaped molecular structure. tRNAs have two regions of fundamental functional importance: the anti-codon, which is responsible for specific mRNA codon recognition, and the 3' end, to which the tRNAs corresponding amino acid is attached (by aminoacyl-tRNA synthetases). tRNAs cope with the degeneracy of the genetic code in two manners: having more than one tRNA (with a specific anti-codon) for a particular amino acid; and 'wobble' base-pairing, i.e. permitting non-standard base-pairing at the 3rd anti-codon position. RNAcentral also lists the same sequence under 7 other names. The record is from RNAcentral. Lineage: Archaea; Nanobdellati; Candidatus Aenigmatarchaeota.